RNAcentral lists this non-coding RNA (768 nucleotides) under Paphnutius ruficeps. The record is from RNAcentral. Lineage: Eukaryota; Metazoa; Arthropoda; Insecta; Hemiptera; Cercopidae.
UUAAAGUUUGAUUCUUGCUUUUUAUUUAGUUUUAUCAUUAAUUUGCAUGCAAGGUUUUUCGUGAAUUUAUUUUUCUAAAUGAUUAUUAUAUUUAUUCGCAGUAAUUAGUUCUAUAUAUUUAUUUGGGUUUGAUUAUGUUAUGUGAUUUAAUUUAAGUGAUUAAUUUUGUGCCAGCAGUCGCGGUUAUACAAUUACUUAAGGUAAAUUAUUUGUAUCUUUUAGUUAAUUUUUAUUUGGAUUUAAAUGGGUUGUUAAUUAGGUAGAAUUUUUAUAUUUUUUUUAUUUCUUUUUUAUAAAUGUUUCUGAGAAAUUUCUUUAUUAAACUAGGAUUAGAUACCCUAUUAUUGGAAAUGUAAAUUCUUGGAUUGAUUAUUAUUAGUUAUGAUCUUUAAAUUCAAAGAAUUUGGCGGUAACUAAGUCUUAUUAGAGGAACCUGUUCUGUAAUUGAUAAUCCACGAUUGAUUUUACUUUAGUUGUACUUGUAUACCUCUGUCAUUGAAUGUAUUAAUAGGUUAAAUUUUCUUAUUUCUUAGUUUGUCUGGAUUAAUGUUAGGUCAAGGUGCAGUUUAUAUUAAAGUAGAAAUGGGUUACAUUAUUUAUUUUUGAUUAAUUAUUGGAAUAUGGUUAUGAAUUUGGAUUUAAUAGUAAUUUUAAUUAGCGAAAUUAGUAUGAUUUAAGCUCUUGGUUAUGCACAUAUCGCCCGUCACUCUCAUCAAUUUGAGAUAAGUCGUAACAAAGUAGCCUUACUGGAAAGUGUGGCUAGAAAGA